AGAAAGGCUUGGAUAGAUUUAAGCAGGAGGGGUCAAAGCGAGGCUCGAAACAGACAUGGCUUGCUGGAGCAAGGCCGGAGAUGGCCAUAAAAAUUGAAUCAACAAGGUCUAGAUGAAGCUUCUUUAUGGUCAGACCAUGAAACCUCAAUAGCCAAGCGUGUAUGCACCAUGGAAGGUUGGUAGGUGGUGAGACCACCAUAGAUUCAGGCCAGGAGGUGGCCAGAUAAGGUGAAUGAAACUCAUCGGAGUGGAGGGGAAGGUAGGAAGAUUCUAGUGAGAACCAGAAAUAGAGAGAUAGAUACGAGUGAGGAA
This 312-nucleotide long non-coding RNA is filed under the name Nicotiana benthamiana. Its description in RNAcentral is "long non-coding RNA (NBEN_LNC038915)". Lineage: Eukaryota; Viridiplantae; Streptophyta; Magnoliopsida; Solanales; Solanaceae. The record is from RNAcentral.